CAAGUAUACCGCAUUCAUUGAUCAAGAUUUCAGUGGUGCUAAGUGUGUAGGUUGCUUUGAUAGGGUAAUUAUUACAGUGUACUGGUUUUAGGAUGACACUGUUCCCAAGUACAGGGAAAUAUACCGGCACGUACGAAGAUGCUGAUUUUACAGAAGAUAAAGCAGAUGUAGAUGUGUCAUCUUCCUUAAGGUCUGAGAAUGAGAAGCUUACUACAAAAGAAGGAAGGUGCUUUGUAAAAAUUAUUACUUUUCUGCCCUAACAUUAGUUGACAUAAAUUCUAAAGCCAAAUCUGUUAUUGUACUGCUUCCUUAUACCUAGUCACCAAUUCUUAUGGGAAUAAAUAACUGCAUGAAAGGUGGCAUGAUUUCAUGCUACUGAUUUUUAAUGGGGGGUAAAACCAACAUUAUCUUCUAAGCAAAACCAUCCCAGUGGCUUUAUGUUAUCUGUGGCUGUGUCAAAUAAUCACUCUUCUUCAGUAACUGAGUCUAUGAGAGAAAUGAGAUACAUGGUUUAAGGACCAAGAUACUAAUUUAUUUUUGUAUAAAUAAGUAGUUUACUUUAUGAAACAAAAACACUUCUGAUGUAUGUGUGUUUUUGCAAAUAAAAUAUUUAUUUACAUUUGGAUUUAAACAUAGAAACAAAAUCAGAAUCUCAAUGAGCAAGAGAUCAUGGGAGAUAUACCCCUGCUUCCCUGAUACCUCUACCUUGCCAAUACAGUACAAAUAAAAGUGAUAAUAUGGAUGUUGAUACUGAUGACUCCAUUUUGUUCUUUUACAAAUGACUACUGUGUAUGCUUUACAAAACAGUCAUUACAAAUUCUGUUAGGAAUAUAAUCUGCAUACUGCAUAUGUGAUCUUCA
Zootermopsis nevadensis is the source of this 860-nucleotide non-coding RNA. The record is from RefSeq and is a predicted model, not a curated record. Lineage: Eukaryota; Metazoa; Arthropoda; Insecta; Blattodea; Termopsidae.